GAUGAUAUGUAUCAUAUACAUCUUGAGAAAUCAAGACAAGUAUAUAAAGAAACUAUUAUGGAUGGUUAGCUAUAUAUUUCAAGAUAUUGAUCUAGAAAAAUAUAAACUAGAAAUCAUAGAGAAAUCUAAUUAUAAGACAAAGUGAAUUGAAAUAUCUUAGUAACUUUAGUAAAAGAAAUCAAACGAGAUUGUUAUUUGGUGUCUUCUGAAUAGCAAAAGCCUUAAUAAAUAAUUACUAAAAUUAAUGAUAGUAAUUAUUUAUAGUAAAUAUAUUAAAUGAUAUAUUUAAGUAUAACGGAAAAAAAUCUGUUGAAAAAUAGGGGAACCUUCCUCUAAGGCUAAAAAAAAUAUAUAAGCGAUAGAGUAACAGUACCGUGAGGGAAAUACCCUGAAAUAGUAGUUUUAUAAGCAGCUCAAGUUAAAAUUUAAAUAAAUAAUAAGAGCGUACCUUUUGCAUAAUGGGUCAGCAAGUUAAUUUUAGAUGCAAGUAACAUCUCUUUUAUAAGCAUUUACACAUUUAGAAUAUUAUCAUUUACAAUAGAUGAUAACAAUAUAGAUAUGUAAAUUUAUUAAUAAAAUUAGGAGAUAGAUACGUAGAUAAACCAAUUAUGAAAAAAUGAAUUAGUAUCUAGAAUUAGACCCGAAGGCUAGUGAUCUUACCAUGGUCAGGGUUAUAAAAGCCCGAACGGGUUAUCGUUGUAAAGAUAUCCGAUGAACUGUGGUAAGUUAGUGAAAGACAAAACUGACUAGUAUAGCUGGUUUUCCGCGAAACCUAUGUAAGUAGGUAAUUUAAUUAACAUCUUAGCAGGUACAGAACUGUGAUCUCGGACAAUAUUUAAUAUAUUUGUCAACAUCGGGGGGUUGUAGUGACUUUACCGGAGAGUAUUUGCACUCGGAAGGGCAAAGAUGAAUGUUAAAUAAUCGGACAUAGUGCGAUAAGGUUGUAUGUCUAAAGGGAAACAGCCCAGAACAAGAGUUAAGGUUCCAAAAUUAUUGUUAAGUGAAAUUAAGGAUGUUUUUUUUUAAAACAAUCAGGAAAUAGGCUUAGAAGCGGCCAUUUUUUGAAGACCUCGUAACAGAGCACUGAUUAAUAAAUUAGGAAAAAACGCCGAAAAUUUAACGGAUCUAAAUAAUAUACCGAAACCUUGUACACAAAUAAAAAUUAAAGCGUUAUAGCUUAAUAUUUUGUGGGGUAGCGGAACAUUGGAUUAAACAAAAUAUUAAUAUUUUUCUUAAAAUAUUAAAGAUCUAGCAUCUGUUAAAUCCAAGAGAGAAUGCUGACAUGAGUAACGAAAAAGGCUUUUAGCCUCGCCUGAAGCUUAUGGUUUCAUCUAAAAUCGGUGUCUAAAAAAAUUAAUCAAAAGAUAAUUUUGAUGACGUUUUGUAUAAGAUAAUACCAAAACCUUUAAUAAGUAAUAAAGGUUCUGGAAAAGUUUAUUUUAUUAUUUGAAGUGAAAAAUAUUUAAUACUCAUACUUAUUGGUAUAAAAUUGUAAAUUAUAAUAUAUAAUACAUACUUAUUAUUAUAUUGUGAUUUACAAAUAUAAUAGAAUGAGUAAAAUAAAUAUAUUUUAACCAAAUAAUAGUCUUUAUCUAUAAUUAUAAUAAUAUAAUAUAAUAAUUAUUAAUAAUUAAUUACCAUUAGAUUAUUAAUAUGUAUUUAUAGGCUAUAUUUGAAUUGUAUAUCAAGAUUCUUAUAUAGAUAUAUCUAUAUCUAUUAAACGUUAUUAGAAAUAAUAUUAUAAUAUAUAGAAAAGAUAACAUUAUACUGGAAAAUAAUAAAUAACCGUACCUAGAAACUAACUCAAGUAAGCAAGUAGAGAAUACAAAGGCGUUUGAGAGAACAAUCAUUAAGGAACUCGGCAAAUUGACUCUGUACCUUUGGAAUAAGGAGGACCAUUAUUAUUAAAUUUAACAUAUAAUAAAGUAUGUAAUUAAAUAUGAAAAAUUAAAUUAAUAAUAAGAGGAAUCAUGAAAUAAUGUUGUACGACUGUUUAAUAAAAACACAGCACUCUGCAAAGAUAAAAAAUCAAAGUAUUGAGUGUGAUGUCUGCCCAAUGUCGGCUGGGUAACGGAUCUACCUUGAUUAUUAACUGAGGUUUUGAAGGACACCCCGAUUAAUGGCGGCCUUACCUAUGAGGGUCCUAAGGUAGCGAAAUACCUUGGCCGUUAAAUGCGGUCCUGCAUGAAUGAUUUAACGAUGCAACAGCUGUCUCGAUGAUUGUCUCAGUGAAAUUGGAAUAGCAGUGCAGAUACUGUUUACCUCUAGAUAGACGAGAAGACCCUAUGCAGCUUUACUGUUACUAAUUAUAAGAGUGAAAUUUUAGGAUGAUUUAUAGUGUAUAAGGUAGUUGUUGAGAUAAUAAUGAAACACCUUUAUUCGAAUCCUUAUAUAUACUCUUAAUGAUUAGAAGGCAGUUUAUGCGGGGCACAGAUCCCACAAAAAGUACCUGGGUAUAUCCAAAGUUCAUAUUGUAAACUUGUAUAUUUAUAUACAAAUAUUUUAAUUUGUUCUAAUUAUUAUUAUAAUUAUACAGUUAUUAUUCGAUUAAAUUCCACAAUUAUUUUUUAUUUUAAGUAAGAUUUUAACUAUGCGGUGAAUAGAUGUAUUUUAAACUUUACUGGACUUUUAGUUCAAAGAUUUAAAAGUUUAUUUGUUAUAUUAAUAAAGUAUUUAUCUUUAUUAAUAUAAUAUUUAUUAAUACUUUAAAAGUUUAAUGGCUAAAUCUUGCUUUACUGUUUGACCUACAAGUCUAUCAGUCGCGUAAGCGGGGCAUAUGAUCACAAGAUGCAUUAAGGAAAGGUCUUGGAUUAUAGAAAAAGUUACGCUAGGGAUUUAUAACUGUGAGUCCUCCAAUAUUAUAAAAUAUUGGUAAUAUAUUGGGUAAAUUUCAAAGACAACUUAUAUUAAUUAAGUGUAUUUGAAGCGAAACUUAUUUUAGCAUGUGUUUAUCUUUAAGAUAAAUUAAAAUAAGGACGUUCAACGACUAAAAGGUGAGUAUAGCUAACAAUAAUCCUUUUUUAACGCCCAACAUCUUUAUUAAUUAAUUAAAAACACUAUUUGUAUAAUAAUUAUUAUUUUUUAAUAAUGUAUUAGACUUGGUUUACCAAGCUUUAAUAUUAUAUAAUUAAUUCUAUUAAUUAUAUUAAUAUAUAUAUAUAUAUAUAUAAAUAUGUUAAAUAUUAUAAAAUCAAAAUUAAAUACUACAUAUAAAAAAAAAGGAUUAAAUGAUUCUAGUAUAGCUAUUUAUAAUAGAGAUAUAAUACCUGCUGUAAGAAAUUGAAAAAGUAGUAUAUAUGCUUAUAAUAAAAAUGCUAUUAAUUUAAUUCCUAUUAAAAGUAAAUAUGUAAUGAAAUUAAUUAAAGCAUACUUUAAUUUAUAUAAUUUACAACUAGAAUCUUUAUUAAGAAAAAAUAGAUUACGUCGUAGAUUUAGAAAAAUAUCUACAAAUAGAAUAUUUAUUAGUGAUGGUGAAUUUAAACAUACUAAUGAUAAAGUUAAUAUAACAUUAUAUGUUUAUAAUAAACAAAAACUUAAUUACUUAUUAAAACUUAAAAAAAGAUAUUUAACAUUAUUUAAAAAAGCUAAAUUUGCUAGAAAAUUAAAAUUAAUAAAAAAUAUAGGAUUAAAUAUUUUGUGUAAACAUAAACAAAAAAGUAUAUUAUUAAGUAAUCUUUUACCUAAAUACAAUACUCAAGUAAAUACAGCACAAAAUAUUUACUAUUUAAGAUUUAUUAAAAAAAGUUUUAAAAGAUUAAAAUUCUAUAUGUAUUAUAAACAAAUGCUUUAUAUAAAUAAAGCUAAAUUUGAAAAUACUUAUUUACAAGGUUUAAUAAGUUUAGUAAAAAAUAUUUUUAAUAAAAAUGUUGAAUUUAAUAUAAUUAAUUUAAAAUAUUUUUAUUUUAAUAGUAAUAUAUUUACUCAACCUUUAGAAUUAAAAUUAAAAAAAAAAAGAAAUGUUUUAAGAUAUCUUAAAGUUUUAAUAAGAAAAGCAAAAAUUAAAAAUGUAAAAUUAGCAGAAAAAUCUAAAAAAUUUUUUAAUUUAAAUAUUUUUAAUAGUGAUAAUUUUUUACAACAAGAUAAUACUAAAUCUAAAUACCUUAAAAAAAUUAUUUUAAGUGAUUUAAAAUAUAAAAGAGUAUCUGGUGUUAGAUUAGAAGCUGCUGGUAGAUUAACUAGACGUUUUUCAGCUUCUAGAUCUCAACGUAGAACUAAAUAUAAAGGUAAUUUAGAAAAUGUUUAUUCUUCAUUUAAAGGUUAUCCUACACCAAUGUUAAGAGGAAAUGAUAAAGCUAAUUUACAAUAUACUGUAAUUAACUCAACUUCACGUGUUGGAGCUUUUGGUGUUAAAGGUUGAGUAAGUAGUACUUAAUUUAUCUUUUCUUUUUAUUUACAAUUUUCCCUCCCUUAUAUUAAUUAAUAAAGAUGAUGAAAUAGUCUGAACCGUUUUGAGAAAAAUGGAAAUAAAAGUAUAUUUGGCUUCUAGCUGAAUCUUUUAUGAUAACAUAAAUUGAACAGGCUAAUUUGCGCAAGAGAGUACAAAUUGAGUGCGCGGUUUGGCACCUCGAUGUCGGCUUAGCUCAUCCUCAUGCAUGCAGAAAUCAUGAAGGGUUCGACUGUUCGUCGAUUAAAGAGCUACAUGAGCUGGGUUUAAUACGUCGUGAGACAGUAUGGUUUCUAUCUUCUAGAGGAACAUAAAGUAGAUUAAAGAUAGCCCCUUCGUACGAAAGGAGUUGGGUAUAUUGAUCUCUGGUUUACCUGUUGUUUAUGAUUUAUAUUAUAACAUAUGUUAUAAUGAUAAUUAAUACUUAUACUAAGGUAUUGUUACACUAUUUAUAGUAUAACCAGACAACAUAGGCAUGGCAGGAAAGCUACAUCAGUUAAAGAUAAGUGUUGAAAGCAUCUAAACGCGAAGCAAACUUUAUGAUACUUUUAUACGUAGUAGAACACUACGAGCAUAAUUGUUUAAUUACAAUUAAUAGGCUUUAGUUGUAAGAAUGAUAACAUUUUUAGAUAUAAAGUACUAAUUUAAAAAAAAAAGUAUACUAAAUAUUAUUUAAUAUCAUUAUAAUAUUUUUUUUAUAUAUUACAAUA
This 5094-nucleotide ribosomal RNA is filed under the name Penicillium chrysogenum. Its description in RNAcentral is "large subunit ribosomal RNA". The stretch from base 35 to 2876 matches the Rfam family "Bacterial large subunit ribosomal RNA". Lineage: Eukaryota; Fungi; Ascomycota; Eurotiomycetes; Eurotiales; Aspergillaceae. RNAcentral also lists the same sequence under 1 other name. The record is from RNAcentral.